Molecule: non-coding RNA, 932 nt
Filed under: Laticauda colubrina (yellow-lipped sea krait)
Lineage: Eukaryota; Metazoa; Chordata; Lepidosauria; Squamata; Elapidae
Source: RNAcentral
CAAGGUCUUGGUCUUGAACCUCUUGUUGUCUAAACCCUGUACUUAUACAUGCAAGCCUCAUCACAACAGUGAAACUGCCCACCAUAAUCGCAUACCGGAGCCGGUAUCAGGCAAUAGCCCACGACACCAAGCAACCAAAGCCACGCCCCCACGGGCCAGCAGCAGUAGUUAAUAUUUGGCCAUAAGCGAAAGCUUGACCCAAUAACAGAGUUCUACUCAGGGCCGGUUAAUCUCGUGCCAGCGACCGCGGUUAAACGACAGACCCAAGACAACAUAAUCGGCGUAAAGCACGACUAAAAUUCACGUUACCUUAUUAGGGAUAAAGAUAGACUGGGCUGUAAAAAGCUAUAAGCCCCUACUAAACACAUAGCCCUAAUAAUAAACAACUUUGACUCGUGAAAGCUAGGACACAAACUAAGAUUAGAUACCUUACUAUGCCUAACCAUAACCAGGCAGCUAAAUAACCAGCUGCUCGCCAAAUAACUACGAGUUAUAACUUAAAAUUUAAAAGACUUGACGGUACUUCACAUCAACCUAGAGGAGCCUGUCUAAUAACCGAUAACCCACGAUUAACCCAACCUACCCUAGCCCAACCAGUCUAUAUACCGCCGUCGCCAGCUUACCUUAUGAAAGAAACAAAGUAAGCCUAAUAAUAAUACAUUAACACGACAGGUCGAGGUGUAACUAAUGAGUAGGAUAAGAUGGGCUACAAUUUCUAAUCCAGAAAAAACGAAUAGACUAUGAAACUAGAAACUGAAGGCGGAUUUAGCAGUAAGUUAAGAAUAAACAUGCCUAGCCGAAGAUAACGCAAUGAAGUGUGCACACACCGCCCGUCAUCCCUGUAAGACCCAUAUAUUAUCCAUAAAAACCACCCAUCUACUAAACAGGGCAAGUCGUAACACGGUAAGCGUACUGGAAAGUGCGCUUAGAAA